CAUCACUGUCAGGUGGGACCUGGGCCUUAACAAGAAGAGAAUCGCCUACUUCACUUUGCCCAAGACUGACUCUGACAUGCGGCUCAUGCAGGGGGAUGAGAUAUGCCUGCGGUACAAAGGGGACCUUGCGCCCCUGUGGAAAGGGAUCGGCCACGUCAUCAAGGUCCCUGAUAAUUAUGGCGAUGAGAUCGCCAUUGAGCUGCGGAGCAGCGUGGGUGCACCUGUGGAGGUGACUCACAACUUCCAGGUGGAUUUUGUGUGGAAGUCGACCUCCUUUGACAGGAUGCAGAGCGCAUUGAAAACGUUUGCCGUGGAUGAGACCUCGGUGUCUGGCUACAUCUACCACAAGCUGCUGGGCCACGAGGUGGAGGACGUAAUCAUCAAGUGCCAGCUGCCCAAGCGCUUCACGGCGCAGGGCCUCCCCGACCUCAACCACUCCCAGGUGCGCGCCGUCCUCAGCGCGCGGGGCCUCGCCCAUGGGCCGGGACGCAAGCGGAGGCUGCCCCUAACGGCCGCUUGUAUUGAAGGUUUAUGCCGUGAAGACUGUGCUGCAAAGACCGC
RNAcentral lists this small RNA (561 nucleotides) under Pan troglodytes (chimpanzee). RNAcentral describes it as "retained intron". The record is from RNAcentral. Lineage: Eukaryota; Metazoa; Chordata; Mammalia; Primates; Hominidae.